AGAGUUUGAUCCUGGCUCAGAAGGAACGCUGGCAGCGUGCAUAACACAUGCAAGUCGAACGAUGAAACAUUCUUCGGAAUGUGGAAGAGUGGCGAACGGGUGAGGAACACGUAAGAAUCUGCCCCUCGGUCGGGGACAACUCUUGGAAACGAGAGCUAAUACCCGAUACGCUGUGGAGUGAAAGAAUUUCGCCGAGGGAUGAUCUUGCGUCUGAUUAGCUAGUUGGUGUGGUAAUGGCACACCAAGGCGACGAUCAGUAGCUGGUCUGAGAGGAUGAACAGCCACAUUGGAACUGAGACACGGUCCAAACUCCUACGGGAGGCAGCAGUGGGGAAUUUUCCGCAAUGGACGAAAGUCUGACGGAGCGACGCUGCGUGAAGGAUGACGGCCCGCGGGUUGUAAACUUCUUUUCUCGAAGAAGAAGCUCUGACGGUAUUCGAGGAAUAAGCAUCGGCUAACUCCGUGCCAGCAGCCGCGGUAAGACGGAGGAUGCAAGUGUUAUUCGGAAUGAUUGGGCGUAAAGAGUCUGUAGGCCGUAUGGAAAGUCUUUUGUUAAAUGCCUCGGCUCAACCGAGAUCCAGCAAAGGAAACUUCUAUACUUGAGGGAAGUAGAGGUACAGGGAAUUCCCGGUGGAGCGGUGAAAUGCGUAGAUAUCGGGAGGAACACCAAUAUGGCGAAGGCACUGUACUGGGCUUUACCUGACGCUGAGAGACGAAAGCUAAAGGAGUGAUUAGGAUUAGAUACCCUAGUAAUUUUAGCCGUAAACGAUGGAAACUCACUGCCGAGCGAAAUACAACGAGCGGUGGUCAAGCUAACGCGUGAAGUUUCCCGCCUGGGGAUUACGCUUGCAAAAGUGAAACUCAAAGGAAUUG
Molecule: ribosomal RNA, 873 nt
Filed under: uncultured marine bacterium
Lineage: Bacteria
Description: bacterial SSU rRNA
Rfam family: Bacterial small subunit ribosomal RNA
Source: RNAcentral